RNAcentral lists this unclassified non-coding RNA (378 nucleotides) under plant metagenome. RNAcentral's name for it is "partial contains 5.8S ribosomal RNA, internal transcribed spacer 2, and large subunit ribosomal RNA". The stretch from base 1 to 105 matches the Rfam family "5.8S ribosomal RNA", at positions 50 to 154 of the family's 154-position model. The record is from RNAcentral.
GAAAUGCGAUAAGUAAUGUGAAUUGCAGAAUUCAGUGAAUCAUCGAAUCUUUGAACGCACCUUGCGCUCCUUGGUAUUCCUUGGAGCAUGCCUGUUUGAGUAUCAUGAAAUCUUCAAAGUAAAUCUUUUGUUAACUCAAUUGGUUUCUACUUUGGUAUUGGAGGUCUUUGCAGCUUCACACCUGCUCCUCUUUGUUCAUUAGCUGGAUCUCAGUGUUAUGCUUGGUUCCACUCGGCGUGAUAAGUUAUCUAUCGCUGAGGACACUGUAAAAGGUGGCCAAGGUAAAUGCAGAUGAACCGCUUCUAAUAGUCCAUUGACUUGGACAAUACUUUUAUGAUCUGAUCUCAAAUCAGUUAGGACUACCCGCUUAACUUAAGC